This is a long non-coding RNA of Cavia porcellus (domestic guinea pig), 2448 nucleotides long. RefSeq lists it as uncharacterized. The record is from RefSeq and is a predicted model, not a curated record. The transcript is spliced from 2 exons. Lineage: Eukaryota; Metazoa; Chordata; Mammalia; Rodentia; Caviidae.
CCGGCCCCUUCCUCCCGGCGCCCCUCCCUCCGCGUCCCCUCGGCGGAGGCGCUGGGCUCGGCGGGACCCGCCCGGGAGCCGCACCCACGGCGGCCGGCGGACGCGGCCAGGUGCGCGGCCCGGAGCAGGAAUUUACAGCUGAGCGCUCGCCUUACAUCUCAGAGGAGACUUGGGACUUGGACUUGCCAGGAAUGCUGAAACUGUUAGGACUUGGGCAACUCUUACAGAUGGACUAAAUGCUGUUCGGUUUUUGUUGUUGUUUUUUGUUUGUUUGUUUUUGUGGUGCUAGAGAUUGAACCCAGAGCCUUAUGCAUGCCAGGCAAGAACUCUACCACUGAGCCACAUCUCCAGCUCCCAGAAUGAAUGCCUUUUACAUAAAGGAAUGUACAUGAGUCUUUGGGGCUCAGGGGCAGAAUGCUUUGAUUUGUGUCUAGUUGUCACCCCAAAGCCUCAUGCAGUCAUAAGUGGGGCUUUUCAGAGGUGGCUGAUUCAUGAUUGAUUCAUGGUGCAGUGAUGGGAUUAAGGUGCUAGGACCAAGCGUGGAUAUUACUGAAUUAGUCCCAUGUGCCACCCUGCCUUGGAGCCAGCUGACUUCGGACUGAAGCCUCUACACACUGAAGGGCUAAGUAAACCUUUCCUCCUUUCCCUCUGGAGGUCCAGGUAUUUUGUCUCAGCAACAAGAAACCAAAACAAGAAGAUAGCAACCCACACCCUGGCUGCUAUCAGAGAACCACAGAAUUUGUGUCGUGAGGAUGUGGACAAACAAACCUUCACACACUAUUGAUGAGACCAUAAAUGAUCCCACUUCUAUGGGGAAAAUGUAAUUCCUUUAAAAAUACAAAGUAGACUCAUGACCCAGCUGUUCUACUUCUGUUUACAUACUCAGAACUGCAGCAGGGUCUUGAUGAGACCCAUGUUUACAUAUCACUCAGGGUGGCUGAAGUGUGGAAGCCAAUCAAGAAUCCGAAGACAUUGCCCAUCGUUCGAGGCCAGCCUGGGCUGCAUGGUGAGUUCAAGGCCAGCUUGACCUGCACAGCAAGACUGUCUCAAAAGAAACUAAUAGAUACAUACCGGAUAUGCUGGUGACCAAGAAUUUGGAUUAAAUAACCUCUGCUUUUGGCAAACUAAUACCUCAUGGUAUGGUUGAGUGAGAACAAGACCUACCAAGACAGUAAUCUGUCAGAAAUCUUGUGUGGGGAGAGAGGUCACUGAAAACGUCAUUAGGCAAUGGGGAGCACAGGGGCCGGGGUGUCUGUGCAGUGGUGGUUUCCAAAGCGGCUGGCCAUUAUCUCCUGUGCAUCUUUUAAGAACAGAGAAAGCACUUCUUUAAACAAAACAGUAAUGAGAGAAGUUAACCAAGGGGAAAAGAAGAGUCCACAGAGCAAUGCACAAAGAAAAUGUGGCCUGUAGGAAGCAAUGUCACAGAGCUGAGAGGCCUCCAGGACAGAAGUCAGGCGUGCUCCUGGGCCCCUAACUCAGAAUCUGUCGCCCACUGAACUCGAGGCUCACACUGCUAUCUACCCCCACCCUGCCCUGCCCCAUCUUACCACACUCAAAGCCCAGAGGGCUCCCCUGGUGUCUCCAAAAACAAGCUGGGUGGAAAGUGAAACUGCAGAUCAUCACUGAGCAGCAGAGGACAAACCUGGCCCUUAACCUGUUGCCCAUUAAAACGCGUUUCGUGUUUUCUUCUGAGGCACUCAGGGACUUACAGCGGCUUUUGCUGAAGCAGUGACCUCCUCGGUGCCCACAGACGUGCAGGGGCGACUGCAGCAGGAGCGAGCUGGCCCUGCCUUGGCUUUGCAUUUCUCUCUUUACUGCCUUGCGACUCGGGGGACAGGGAGCAUUAAUUGUAAGGUUUACUAGCUGUCACCCACCCAACCUCUCAUGAAGACCGGCUGGCUUUUAACCCCUGGAGCGAGCACCCAAGGGUCUGCGGUCAUUGCCCCAGGUCUGUGGUCACCUUGGAUUUCCAACAGAGCCCCGCUGCACCCAGGCUGCCUCUCCUAGGUGCAGCAGCCACCCCUGGGACCCAAGUGUCAUCGGGCCGGGAGAUGGGUUUCUCCAGAGCUGUGAACCGCGCUGAGAGGACCCUCAGCCACACCUGAGCCUGCCUCGGCGGCCCCCAGUGCUAUUUCCUUCUGGAAGGGGCCGAGUGACCUCCCUUUGGCGCCUCAGGCUGAAGUCACACCUUACCUUCUUACCUCCCUUUGUGAAGGCCCAGCCUCACCCCAUCAGAACAGCCAAGUUCCCUUUCCUUUUUUUUUGCCUUUUUGAGACAGGGCUUCACCAUGCAGUUCAGGCUGGCCUUGGGCUCACUUUACAGCCCAGGCUGGUCUCGAACUCACAGCAAUGCUCCUGCCUCAGCCUCCCGAGUACUGGGAUUACAAGCAUGUGCCACUAUGCCCAGCUUCAUUUUCUUACUUUUUAAUUAAAGCUUUUGCCUAUAAA